UGCUCCAGAACAUGGAGGCUGAGCAGCAGCGCCGGGCCCAGGAGGCCCAGAGGCACAAGGAGUAUGACCCUCAAGGUCCAACAGCUGACCAGGGAGCAGCAGCAGUGUCACAAGGAGCUGCAACAGGCCUACUGUGAGCUUAGCCGGAGGAUCUCAGAGCACGACCAGUGUGAGUGGAGGUGCAUGGACAAGACCAAGCUCACGCUGCAGGCCAUCAAGGACACAGAGGCCCAGGUGGACAGGCUGCGGCAGGAGGCCCAGAAGGCCGAGGAGGCGCUGGCUAUGGCCAGGCUGGAGCUUCGGGAGCAGACGCAGGAGGGGGAGGAAGAGGCGCCUGGGCUGAAGUGCCAGGUCACCGAGCUGCACGAUGUGCUGAUGAAAGAUGUAGGCAACCGCAUCCGUGCCGAUGGCCGGUGGCCUCUUGUUAUUGACCCUUUGGGCCAGGCGGCCACCUUCCUGCGCUACCAGGAUACCAACUAUGUGGACACGGUGAACCCGGAGCCCCUGAGGCCGGAGACGAUGUGGCUGGCUCUGCUGGGGGCUCUGCGGUAUGGGAAGCCGCUGGUGUUCGACCUGCGAGAGGAAGACCUGUUCCCAGUCGUGCAGCGGCAGCUGGAGGCGGUGCAGGAGAGGUACCUGUCGCUGCUGCGGCCCACGG
This 658-nucleotide unclassified non-coding RNA is filed under the name Homo sapiens (human). RNAcentral's name for it is "novel transcript (ENSG00000282519.1)". The record is from RNAcentral. Lineage: Eukaryota; Metazoa; Chordata; Mammalia; Primates; Hominidae.